Molecule: ribosomal RNA, 429 nt
Filed under: Bacteroidota bacterium
Lineage: Bacteria; Pseudomonadati; Bacteroidota
Description: Bacteroidetes bacterium partial 16S ribosomal RNA
Rfam family: Bacterial small subunit ribosomal RNA
Source: RNAcentral
UAGGGAAUCUUCCGCAAUGGACGCAAGUCUGACGGAGCAACGCUGCGUGAGUGAAGAAGGAUUUCGGUUCGUAAAACUCUGUUGUUAGAGAAGAACAGCGCAUAGAGUAACUGUUAUGCGUGUGACGGUAUCUAACCAGAAAGCCACGGCUAACUACGUGCCAGCAGCCGCGGUAAUACGUAGGUGGCAAGUGUUGUCCGGAUUUAUUGGGCGUAAAGCGAGCGCAGGCGGUCAAUUAAGUCUGAUGUGAAAGCCCCCGGCUCAACCGGGGAGGGUCAUUGGAAACUGGUUGACUUGAGUGCAGAAGAGGAGAGUGGAAUUCCUUGUGUAGCGGUGAAAUGCGUAGAUAUAUGGAGGAACACCAGUGGCGAAGGCGACUCUCUGGUCUGUAACUGACGCUGAGGCUCGAAAGCGUGGGUAGCAAACAGG